UACGUAGGGGGCAAGCGUUGGCCGGAAUCAUUGGGCGUAAAGAGCGUGUAGGCGGCUUGGUAAGUCCGCUGUGAAAGUCCAGGGCUCAACCCUGGAAUGCCGGUGGAAACUGUCAAGCUUGAGUCCGGAAGAGGCGAGUGGAAUUCCUGGUGUAGCGGUGAAAUGCGCAGAUAUCAGGAGGAACACCGGUGGCGAAGGCGGGUCUCGUGGGCCGAUACUGACGCUGAGGAGCGAAAGCGUGGGGAGCGAACAGG
Molecule: ribosomal RNA, 254 nt
Filed under: uncultured bacterium
Lineage: Bacteria
Description: partial 16S ribosomal RNA
Rfam family: Bacterial small subunit ribosomal RNA
Source: RNAcentral